GACAUAUGUUAUGAAUUUCAUAUAUCAGAAUGCAAUUGAAUAGUGUCAGUUUUCCCAAAGGAAUGUGUAUUUGCAUAUCUGAAACAAAUGUUCCUUCUCAUAUAUAAGUAUUUUCAUAUACAAGUAAUUAUUUAGUUUUGGAAUUGUGGUGUUUACCUUUAUCUUCAUAUGAUGGAUAUUUCGGUUAUUUCAGGUUGUAUCUGCAUUACAAGGCAUAACAGAAUCAGAUGACUGUUGUUUAGUUGAAGAUUCUUCUUCUUCUUCUUCUUCCGAAAAAUCAUAUUUACCAAAUGAUGAGCCGGUCAUUCCCAUGACAUAUUCGGGAACUAUAAGUGAAUCUUUUUAGCGGCUGCUGCCAAGGUUAAUGACAGGGCUAUUAUUUCAAUUUGAGAGAAAUCAUUGCUUCAUUGCUGAGUAAACCAUAGUGUUAAGUAGGAGUGCUCGAUCUUCCCAUGUUGAUACCCAGGUGAAAAUAUGCCCACAGUUGAGAUGGAGCUUAUAUCUAAAGUUCGUAAUCCGUUCAUUGUAGAGUAUAAAGAUUCAUGGGUAGAAAAGG
This is a long non-coding RNA of Vicia villosa (hairy vetch), 556 nucleotides long. RefSeq lists it as uncharacterized. NCBI's taxonomy places the organism in Eukaryota, Viridiplantae, Streptophyta, Magnoliopsida, Fabales, Fabaceae. The transcript is spliced from 3 exons. The record is from RefSeq and is a predicted model, not a curated record.